AAAAGAUGGCUAUGCUACCGCUUUUGGAUGGGCCCGCGGCGCAUUAGCUAGUUGGUGGGGUAAAGGCUUACCAAGGCAAUGAUGCGUAGCCGAACUGAGAGGUUGAUCGGCCACAUUGGGACUGAGACACGGCCCAAACUCCUACGGGAGGCAGCAGUAGGGAAUCUUCCACAAUGGGCGAAAGCCUGAUGGAGCAACGCCGCGUGGGUGAAGAAGGUCUUCGGAUCGUAAAACCCUGUUGUUAGAGAAGAAAGUGCGUGAGAGUAACUGUUCACGUUUCGACGGUAUCUAACCAGAAAGCCACGGCUAACUACGUGCCAGCAGCCGCGGUAAUACGUAGGUGGCAAGCGUUAUCCGGAUUUAUUGGGCGUAAAGGGAACGCAGGCGGUCUUUUAAGUCUGAUGUGAAAGCCUUCGGCUUAACCGGAGUAGUGCAUUGGAAACUGGGAGACUUGAGUGCAGAAGAGGAGAGUGGAACUCCAUGUGUAGCGGUGAAAUGCGUAGAUAUAUGGAAGAACACCAGUGGCGAAAGCGGCUCUCUGGUCUGUAACUGACGCUGAGGUUCGAAAGCGUGGGUAGCAAACAGGAUUAGAUACCCUGGUAGUCCACGCCGUAAACGAUGAAUGCUAAGUGUUGGAGGGUUUCCGCCCUUCA
Molecule: ribosomal RNA, 653 nt
Filed under: uncultured bacterium
Lineage: Bacteria
Description: bacterial SSU rRNA
Rfam family: Bacterial small subunit ribosomal RNA
Source: RNAcentral